Molecule: ribosomal RNA, 253 nt
Filed under: uncultured bacterium
Lineage: Bacteria
Description: partial 16S ribosomal RNA
Rfam family: Bacterial small subunit ribosomal RNA
Source: RNAcentral
UACGAAGGGGGCUAGCGUUGCUCGGAAUUACUGGGCGUAAAGCGCACGUAGGCGGAUAGUUAAGUUGGGGGUGAAAGCCUGGAGCUCAACUCCAGAACUGCCAUUGAAACUGCAAGACUGGAGUACGAGAGAGGUGAGUGGAAUUCCCAGUGUAGAGGUGAAAUUCGUAGAUAUUGGGAAGAACACCAGUGGCGAAGGCGGCUCACUGGCUCGUAACUGACGCUCAGGCGCGACAGCGUGGGGAUCAAACAGG